AGAGUUUGAUCCUGGCUCAGGACGAACGCUGGCGGCGUGCUUAACACAUGCAAGUGGAGCGACGAACCAGGCUUCGGCCUGGGGCAAAGCCGCGAACGGGUGAGUAACACGUGGGUAACCUGCCCCGAUGAUUGGGACAACCCGAGGAAACUCGGGCUAAUACCGAAUGUGCCCUCCGGUCAUAAGGCCGCUGGGGAAAGGAAGCUUCGGCCUCCGCAUCGGGAUGGGCCCGCGGCCCAUUAGCUUGUUGGUGAGGUAACGGCUCACCAAGGCGACGAUGGGUAGCUGGUCUGAGAGGACGAUCAGCCACACUGGGACUGAGACACGGCCCAGACUCCUACGGGAGGCAGCAGUGGGGAAUCUUGCGCAAUGCGCGAAAGCGUGACGCAGCAACGCCGCGUGGGGGAAGAAGGCCUUCGGGUUGUAAACCCCUUUCAGUUGGGACGAAGCUCCGUCGGUUAACAGCCGGCCGGAGUGACGGUACCUUCAGAAGAAGCCCCGGCUAACUACGUGCCAGCCGCCGCGGUAAUUC
This 532-nucleotide ribosomal RNA is filed under the name uncultured bacterium. RNAcentral describes it as "bacterial SSU rRNA". It matches the Rfam family "Bacterial small subunit ribosomal RNA", at positions 8 to 526 of the family's 1533-position model. The record is from RNAcentral.